Molecule: ribosomal RNA, 254 nt
Filed under: uncultured bacterium
Lineage: Bacteria
Description: partial 16S ribosomal RNA
Rfam family: Bacterial small subunit ribosomal RNA
Source: RNAcentral
UACGUAGGGGGCAAGCGUUGUCCGGAUUUAUUGGGCGUAAAGAGCGUGUAGGCGGCUAGGUAGGUCCGUUGUGAAAAACUCGAGGCUCAACCUCGAGACGUCGAUGGAAACCAUCUAGCUAGAGUCCGGAAGAGGAGAGUGGAAUUCCUGGUGUAGCGGUGAAAUGCGCAGAUAUCAGGAAGAACACCCGUGGCGAAGGCGGCUCUCUGGUACGUGACUGACGCUGAGACGCGAAAGCGUGGGGAGCGAACAGG